AGUGAACGCUGGCGGUAGGCCUAACACAUGCCAGUCGAACGGCAGCACAGUAAGAGCUUGCUCUUACGGGUGGCGAGUGGCGGACGGGUGAGGAAUACAUCGGAAUCUACUUUUUCGUGGGGGAUAACGUAGGGAAACUUACGCUAAUACCGCAUACGACCUACGGGUGAAAGCAGGGGAUCUUCGGACCUUGCGCGAUUGAAUGAGCCGAUGUCGGAUUAGCUAGUUGGCGGGGUAAAGGCCCACCAAGGCGACGAUCCGUAGCUGGUCUGAGAGGAUGAUCAGCCACACUGGAACUGAGACACGGUCCAGACUCCUACGGGAGGCAGCAGUGGGGAAUAUUGGACAAUGGGCGCAAGCCUGAUCCAGCCAUACCGCGUGGGUGAAGAAGGCCUUCGGGUUGUAAAGCCCUUUUGUUGGGAAAGAAAAGCAGCAGGUUAAUAUCCCGCUGUUCUGACGGUACCCAAAGAAUAAGCACCGGCUAACUUCGUG
RNAcentral lists this ribosomal RNA (492 nucleotides) under uncultured bacterium. RNAcentral's name for it is "partial 16S ribosomal RNA". It matches the Rfam family "Bacterial small subunit ribosomal RNA", at positions 29 to 507 of the family's 1533-position model. The record is from RNAcentral.